UGUUAAGCUUUAGAGUUUACGAAAUUAUAUAUUUAACUUUUUGUGCUUAUUAUUUAGGAUCUAGAAUUUGAGGUAUAUAAGGAUUGGGUUUAAGGUUUGGAAUCUAUGAUUUAGGUUUUCAGGUUUGAGACAUAGAAGUGAGUUUAGAUAUAAGUUUUGAAGUUCGUGUAUAGGGUAAAGAGUUUAGUGUAUGAUUUUGGUUUGAAAUUUGAGGUAUAGGGAUUAUUGGAGUUAGGUUUAGGGGUUAUAGUUUAUGAUAUAGUUUGGAAUUUGAUGUAUAAGGUUUUAUUUGGUUCAUGUUUAAGGUUUGAGGUCAUGGUUAGAAACAAUUAUAUUUGGUAAACUAUAAUUUUUUAAAGUGUUAGAUUUAUGUUUUUGAGUAUAUUAUAAUAACGAUUAUAGUUAAAAACUUUAAAAUUUGGGGAUUAUAUAUAUAUUUUUUUAUGUUUAUAUUUAAGAGCUUUUGGUUUUAAUUUUAGAAUUUUUGAUUAAAAA
This 495-nucleotide long non-coding RNA is filed under the name Brassica napus (rape). RNAcentral's name for it is "long non-coding RNA (BNAP_LNC007662)". The record is from RNAcentral. Lineage: Eukaryota; Viridiplantae; Streptophyta; Magnoliopsida; Brassicales; Brassicaceae.